UCGCCUGUUUAUCAAAAACAUAGCUUAUUGUCUCCACAAUAAUAAGUAAGUCCUGCCCAGUGAUAUAUUUAACGGCCGCGGUAUCCUGACCGUGCAAAGGUAGCAUAAUCAUUUGUCUCCUAAUUAGUGACUAGUAUGAAUGGAUAAACGAGUUUCUUACUGUCUCCUUUACUUUAAUAAAAAUUAAUCUCCAGGUGAAGAAGCCUGAAUUAUAAUAAAAGACAAGAAGACCCUGUCGAGCUUCAUCUAAAAUUAAACCUCCAUACAAAUCCUUUAAUUUAGAUUUGGUUGGGGCGACAAAGGAAAACAUAAAUCUUCCUUUAAUACCUAAGAUCUCACAUCUAAAAAAGAUCCAAUUUUUGAUCAAAGACAAAAGCUACCGCAGGGAUAACAGUCUAAUCCUCCUCAAGAGCUCACAUCUAAAGGAGGGAUUGGCACCUCGAUGUUGGCUUAGGAACUCUUUUAAACGCAGCCGUUUUCAAAGAAGGUUUGUUCAACCUUUAAACUCCUACGUGAUCUGAGUUCAGACCGGAUCG
Molecule: ribosomal RNA, 536 nt
Filed under: Diopatra marocensis
Lineage: Eukaryota; Metazoa; Annelida; Polychaeta; Eunicida; Onuphidae
Description: partial 16S ribosomal RNA
Rfam family: Bacterial large subunit ribosomal RNA
Source: RNAcentral